GAUGAACGCUGGCGGCGUGCCUAAUACAUGCAAGUCGAGCGAAUGGAUUAAGAGCUUGCUCUUAUGAAGUUAGCGGCGGACGGGUGAGUAACACGUGGGUAACCUGCCCAUAAGACUGGGAUAACUCCGGGAAACCGGGGCUAAUACCGGAUAACAUUUUGAACCGCAUGGUUCGAAAGUGAAAGGCGGCUUCGGCUGUCACUUAUGGAUGGACCCGCGUCGCAUUAGCUAGUUGGUGAGGUAACGGCUCACCAAGGCAACGAUGCGUAGCCGACCUGAGAGGGUGAUCGGCCACACUGGGACUGAGACACGGCCCAGACUCCUACGGGGGGCAGCAGUAGGGAAUCUUCCGCAAUGGACGAAAGUCUGACGGAGCAACGCCGCGUGAGUGAUGAAGGCUUUCGGGUCGUAAAACUCUGUUGUUAGGGAAGAACAAGUGCUAGUUGAAUAAGCUGACACCUUGACGGUACCUAACCAGAAAGCCACGGCUAACUACGUGCCAGCCGCCGCGGUAA
Molecule: ribosomal RNA, 515 nt
Filed under: uncultured bacterium
Lineage: Bacteria
Description: partial 16S ribosomal RNA
Rfam family: Bacterial small subunit ribosomal RNA
Source: RNAcentral